Molecule: transfer RNA, 75 nt
Filed under: Rickettsia endosymbiont of Ixodes persulcatus
Lineage: Bacteria; Pseudomonadati; Pseudomonadota; Alphaproteobacteria; Rickettsiales; Rickettsiaceae
Description: tRNA-Ser
Source: RNAcentral
GCAUAGCCCCUUUAAGGCGAUGAACUAGAAAUCCAUUGGGGUCUCCCCGCACAGGUUCGAAUCCUGUCGACUGCG